RNAcentral lists this long non-coding RNA (1058 nucleotides) under Oryctolagus cuniculus (rabbit). RNAcentral describes it as "lncRNA (ENSOCUG00000037304.1)". The record is from RNAcentral. Lineage: Eukaryota; Metazoa; Chordata; Mammalia; Lagomorpha; Leporidae.
CCAAAAACUUAAAAUGACUAUAUCUUGAUCUCUGAAUACAAACAUAAGCACAGUAAAAAUAAUCAUAUUCUCAUAUUUAAAUUUUUAUCUGUUUAGAUUUUAUAAUAGUAGUGGAAAUUUCCCUUCUAAUAGUAUCAAUAUGCGUGAUGUAUUCUGCAAAUCUUCCAGCUUAUAAUUAAGAGAAUUGCUAUUUUUAUUAGUGAUCUUUUUUGUUGAUUAAAAAAUAAUAGUGCUUUCUAAUAGUGAUUUCUGUUGUAUUUUGAAUGAAAAUUUGUGGUGCUUUUAUACUGCGCAGUCUCCCAAACUUAGCACUUCUCUAUCUCAGGGAACAUCAUAUUUCUCUAGCUGCCAAAUGAAUAAUUCAUAUUUGUAAUAAGCAGAGGUGUUAUUCUUUUUUUGGGAGACAGAGGAACUCAUUUUUGAUGAUCCUAAGUUGUUUAUCAAAACCACCUUGAAAAUGUUGCCUUGAUUUCUUUAUUGACUAUAAUUUCAAGAUGUUUUGGCACAGGUUUAUGAUACAGGAUUUGAUUGCAUAUGCCUAGCAUAGCAAACUUGUACUUUAUUUACCGUUUUAUUUAAAGUAUCUUUGGAAAAUUGUCAGCAUUUGGAGGGCUUAUGUGAAGUAUGUCUCCCAGCAAAAUUAGAAGAAACAUUAUUAGAGAGAAUGUGUGUUUGGGUUUGGGGUAGGUAGGUGGUGGUGGUAGGAAAGAAGACUAUAGAGCAAUAUAGAAGGAUUUAAUGCAAUAGAGGUUCUUUUAAAAGACACUUCAUAAUAUGCAUAUGAAGAAACUGCAUGGUAGUUGCCUGGGAACAAGUAAAGGAAAAUCAAAUAAUGAACAGGAUUCUCAUGCCCUAGUGAACCAAAUUGAACUUUGAAACUACGAGAAAAAACGUUAGUGACCAAAUCUGCUUAUAUAAUUCAAUGCUUGAAAAUGUACCUUGCAUUUAAUUUUCCUGUCAUUUUUUUUUCCAGUGGGACAUGUAGGGGCUGUAUAAAUUGGCCACUCCAAAGAAUUAGGGUACAUAGGAUGUUAAAGACUGCAAUAAAUAGUUUACAG